Molecule: ribosomal RNA, 503 nt
Filed under: uncultured bacterium
Lineage: Bacteria
Description: partial 16S ribosomal RNA
Rfam family: Bacterial small subunit ribosomal RNA
Source: RNAcentral
AAUGAACGCUGGCGGCGUGUCUUAAGCAUGCAAGUCGUGCGGCAAGGGUAGCAAUACUCCUAGAGCGGCGGACUGGUGAGUAACGCGUGGGUGAUCUGCCCUUGGGUUGGGGAUAGCCAUUAGAAAUAGUGGGUAAUACCGAAUACGAUGGGGAGACUGUGGUCUUGUCAUGAAAGGCGCUUCGGCGCCACCCGAGGAUGAGCCCGCGUCCCAUUAGCUAGUUGGUGAGGUAACGGCCCACCAAGGCGAUGAUGGGUAGGCGGCCUGAGAGGGUGUACGCCCACACUGGGACCGAGAUACGGCCCAGACUCCUACGGGAGGCAGCAGCUAAGAAUAUUCCGCAAUGGACGAAAGUCUGACGGAGCGACGCCGCGUGGAUGGCGAAGGCCGAAAGGUUGUAAAAUCCUUUUGUUGGGGAAGAAUAAGGCUGGGAGGGAAUGCCCGGCUGAUGACAUGAACCGACGAAUAAGUCCCGGCUAACUACGUGCCAGCCGCCGCCGUAA